CCGCCCGAGGGCUCUGGGAGAGGUGUGAGCCCGACCCUCCUGCCUACCCACCCGGUUAACCCUAUCAGCGAAGACGGCCUGCCGAGGACCAGGGGAGAAGAAAGGAGCCUUCUGCAUGUUUUAAGUGGGUAUGCCCCCACCUAUUUCAAAAAGGAUAAAAAGCUAAAAGGGCAGAUCAAAUAAUAGAGGGCAUGCCUCAGGUUUGAGAAGCAAAAUCAGAACAAGCUUGAAAGAGUAAGAUGAAACAAAGAGUUAAUAUCAUUUAUCCAUUAUCCAGACUAAAAACUUGUGCUCCGAAAAUGAAAUUUUUUCCCCCUCCCGUUUGCCAAAAUAAUAUUUCAGCCUCUGGCUUUAAAUAUUUCCUCUCUUGGAAAUCUCCAAACACCAUCCUCUAACUUAACAGGCGACUUUCUGGAGUCCUUCUUCCGAAAGAAAGGUAAUUUGAGGGGGCUCUGAAGAACGCCCUCCCUCCCAACAUCAACGCCCUAAGGAUAGUUUGAAAUCCCAAACACGGAGGUUCCUGUGGAGUUAAGCGUGGAAACGUUAAAACAAUACAUGUUGAUUUAUUAAUACCUUUAAGUGAACUGGUUUAGGUGGGCAAUUAGACACUUGGUUACAAAAGACAGUAGCUGCUGGUGACCAAGAGUGGAGCCACCUCUGGAACCAGAUUGCUGUAUUUGCUGCAGUUCCCUGGGUUACCAUCCCCAACCAAACUCCACAGAAGCUCAGACAAGAAACUAAGCUGGGGAGAGCAGCUUCCUGGAACCCAGAGGCAGGCAUUUGGGAGAGUGAGAAGCCUUAUCAGAUUGCUGAGGGGUGGCUGGGUUUCAGGCUGAUUCAUAAGGCGGCUUCUUCUCCUACAAGUUUUUCUCCCAGUGAAAAGAUAACGAUCUUCUAGGGUUAUGGCAGAGCUUUUCAGAGCCAAUAAAAGGCCAACUGGAAUUUGGAACUUCAUGGACUCAUAGCUAAGGGGAUAUUAGGUAAUUGAGAGGAAGAAGAAGAAUAAAACAAUGCCACAUCCUCCACAAACUUUUCCCAAAUUCCCAUCUUCUUUAUCAUUCCAAUAACUUUUUUCUACAACAUUUUAAUCAUAAAAAUUUUCAAACUUAAUGUUGAAAGAUUUUACAGUAAACACUGAUAUAGCCACCACCUAGAUUCUGCUGUUAAUAUUGUAUUAUACUUGCUUUAUCACAUCUAUACAUUGUACCUUUUGUUUCCCUUUCUUAAAGUGACUUACUACAAACUGGUUUACACAUUUCUUGCUUCGUCUGUCUGUCUGUUUUCUAUCCCUAGCACCUAAAACAGUUUCUGACACAUAGCCUUAGGGAGUAAAGAGACACCAUAUCUCAUUUCUACAUUCUUAAGGCCCACAGAACAGAAUAACUGGAGGUAGGAGGCACUCACACAAUACAUGUUUGUUGAAUAUUAGAUGAAUGAAUGAACAAAUAUGAAAGAGGU
Molecule: non-coding RNA, 1458 nt
Organism: Odocoileus virginianus texanus
Lineage: Eukaryota; Metazoa; Chordata; Mammalia; Artiodactyla; Cervidae
Source: RefSeq, a predicted model, not a curated record